Molecule: small nucleolar RNA, 92 nt
Filed under: Ipomoea nil (Japanese morning glory)
Lineage: Eukaryota; Viridiplantae; Streptophyta; Magnoliopsida; Solanales; Convolvulaceae
Description: Small nucleolar RNA snoR109
Rfam family: Small nucleolar RNA snoR109
Source: Rfam by way of RNAcentral
UGGCUGUAGCUAAAUUCAUUCGAUUGUGAAGUUAACUGGCCGGUUGUUGUUCUCUCCUGUCGACAAAUCUGCUUACCGAACUUCACACAUUU